Priapulus caudatus is the source of this 256-nucleotide long non-coding RNA. RefSeq lists it as uncharacterized. The record is from RefSeq and is a predicted model, not a curated record. NCBI's taxonomy places the organism in Eukaryota, Metazoa, Priapulida, Priapulimorpha, Priapulimorphida, Priapulidae. The transcript is spliced from 4 exons.
GCCUUAAUAAUUAUAAUAGUUUUGAAAGGAUUUACAGUCGCUCUGCUACCGAGACUUCGUAUUCCGACCUCGGUGACCUCCACCGCAGUCGUCGCCACCGCUAACUACUCACGCUCCAUGGAGAAACCGGUCGAAACCAGUCUGCGCACGAAGCUGUCAACAGAGUUGCAGCCAGCAUACUUGGAUAUCAUCAACGCAGAGUCACAUGCACUGUGUUCCAACGGGUUCAGAGGACUCACUUCAAGGUUUCUGUCGU